Molecule: small nucleolar RNA, 107 nt
Organism: Cynara cardunculus var. scolymus (artichoke)
Lineage: Eukaryota; Viridiplantae; Streptophyta; Magnoliopsida; Asterales; Asteraceae
Source: RefSeq, a predicted model, not a curated record
AUUCCAUGACGAGAACAUUUCUAAAGAAGAUCCUUAAAUCUCUCUCAUGCAUCUGAAACAGCUUCAUCCUCAGAUUGCUGAAACAUUAAAAUGUCAUUUCUAAACUU